GUGGGGAUGGCUCAGUGGUAGAGCGCAUGCCUAGCAUGCAUGAAGUCCUGGGUUCAAUCCCUAGUACCUCCA
This 72-nucleotide transfer RNA is filed under the name Vicugna pacos (alpaca). It matches the Rfam family "tRNA". From Rfam's summary of the family: Transfer RNA (tRNA) molecules are approximately 80 nucleotides in length. The record is from Rfam by way of RNAcentral. Lineage: Eukaryota; Metazoa; Chordata; Mammalia; Artiodactyla; Camelidae. RNAcentral also lists the same sequence under 1 other name.